CCACGUUUGAGAUAUCUUUUUCUGGUAGUUCAGACACAAACCACGACAGCUUAUUGCAGAAUAAUACCUACACUGGACCACCACGUUUGAGAUAUCUUUUUCAGGUAGUUGAAACACAGACCACGACAGCUUAUUGUGUAGAAUACGUUUACAAGCUACCUACACUGCACCGCACGUUUGAGGAGCUAUUACAUAUACCCAACGUUUAUUUCAUAUCGCAAAGAAGCUUUGUUGUAAGCUAACGACCUACGUCAUUAUAUUGCAUUAAUGUGUUUCUUGAAAUGAAUGAAAGCCACAAACCGGAACCCCGGUUUUGAAACGCCUUACAAAUGAAAGUACGUAUUCCUGGGAAAGUGAAAGGCUUUGUAUAAAUUUGGGCGGUGACGUGAGAUCGGACGGCCAGUCGCUCCUUCAAAUAAAUUAUUGCAUGGGAAUCUUCUCCAGCAUUAAACUAUCGUAUGAAUUGAAUUUAAUUAGUGCAGUUUUAGAA
Molecule: non-coding RNA, 490 nt
Organism: Paramuricea clavata
Lineage: Eukaryota; Metazoa; Cnidaria; Anthozoa; Malacalcyonacea; Plexauridae
Source: the annotation of a GenBank genome assembly